Molecule: long non-coding RNA, 540 nt
Filed under: Sorghum bicolor (sorghum)
Lineage: Eukaryota; Viridiplantae; Streptophyta; Magnoliopsida; Poales; Poaceae
Description: long non-coding RNA (SBIC_LNC007477)
Source: RNAcentral
AAGGUGGUACUGAUGGUGCAGAAGUAACACGGGAUGACAGUGGUGGAGGCGGAGGUGGAUGAGGGGCUGCCACGCGAUUUCUUUUACUUAAGGAUGGAAAACUUUGUGAAGGGGGAGGUGGUGGAGGUGGAGGUGGAGCAGGAGGUGUUUGAGAAGAAUGUGGUGGUGGAGGUGGAACAGGUGGUGUUCGAGGAGGUGGAGGUGGAGGUGGAACAGGCGGUGUUCGAGAUGAAGGUGGUGGAGGAGGUGGAACAGGUGGUGUUCGAGAAGGAGGUGGAGGUGGAACAGGCGGUGUUCUAGAUGGAGGAGGUGGUGGAGGUGGAACUGGCGGUGUUCGAGAUGGAGGAGGUGGCACUGGCAGUGAUCGAGGAGGUGGAGGAGGUGGAACAGGUGGUGUUUGCACCCGCGCAACACUGUGUGAAAAUGUAGGCAUCAAAGACGGGGUGUCUGGAUAUUCCAUCGUUGCACUGUGCUUGUUAUCUAGAAACUGCGGUUGAGACAACGAGACUUCAGGUUCAUUAAGUAGUGUAGAAGGCAGAG